RNAcentral lists this ribosomal RNA (433 nucleotides) under uncultured bacterium. RNAcentral describes it as "partial 16S ribosomal RNA". It matches the Rfam family "Bacterial small subunit ribosomal RNA", at positions 29 to 507 of the family's 1533-position model. The record is from RNAcentral.
AACGAACGCUGGCGGCAUGCCUAACACAUGCAAGUCGAACGAGACCUUCGGGUCUAGUGGCGCACGGGUGCGUAACGCGUGGGAACCUGCCCUUAGGUUCGGAAUAACUCCCCGAAAGGGGUGCUAAUACCGGAUAAUGUCUUCGGACCAAAGAUUUAUCGCCUUUGGAUGGGCCCGCGUUGGAUUCGCUAGUUGGUAGGGUAAAAGCCUACCAAGGCGACGAUCCAUAGCUGGUCUGAGAGGAUGAUCAGCCACACUGGGACUGAGACACGGACCAGACUCCUACGGGAGGCAGCAGUGGGGAAUAUUGGACAAUGGGCGAAAGCCUGAUCCAGCAAUGCCGCGUGAGUGAUGAAGGCCUUAGGGUUGUAAAGCUCUUUUACCCGGGAUGAUAAUGACAGUACCGGGAGAAUAAGCGCCGGCUAACUCCGUG